UACAGAGGGUGCAAACGUUGUUCGGAAUUACUGGGCGUAAAGCGUGUGUAGGCGGUCUACUAAGUCGGGUGUGAAAGCCCUGGGCUCAACCCAGGAAGUGCACUCGAAACUGGCAGGCUAGAGUACUGGAGAGGUUGGUGGAAUUCUCGGUGUAGAGGUGAAAUUCGUAGAUAUCGAGAGGAACACCGGUGGCGAAGGCGGCCAACUGGACAGAUACUGACGCUGAGACACGAAAGCGUGGGGAGCGAACAGG
Molecule: ribosomal RNA, 253 nt
Filed under: uncultured bacterium
Lineage: Bacteria
Description: partial 16S ribosomal RNA
Rfam family: Bacterial small subunit ribosomal RNA
Source: RNAcentral